This 73-nucleotide transfer RNA is filed under the name Candidatus Bathyarchaeota archaeon CG07_land_8_20_14_0_80_47_9. Its description in RNAcentral is "tRNA-Thr". It matches the Rfam family "tRNA". Rfam says of the family: Transfer RNA (tRNA) molecules are approximately 80 nucleotides in length. Lineage: Archaea; Thermoproteati; Candidatus Bathyarchaeota. The record is from RNAcentral.
GCCGAGAUAGCUCAGCCGGCAGAGCACAUCCAUGGUAAGGAUGGGGUCCGGGGUUCGAUUCCCCGUCUCGGCU